ACCUGUAGUGGAGAGGGGGUGCUCAGUACGGGGCACAAACACUGUAGCAUGAAAAUCUUUGCGAAUGAGCCAAAUCAGCAGAAAAUCUAACUACUGCGUUCUGGCAAGGAUAGUAUUGUACCAGUUAUAGGGGUUUACGAUAUUAUUUUAUCAAUACACGCAAAAUUCGCUUAUGAUAUGAUGCUCGUAAAAACAUUUUACUAAUAAUGCACAGAUACACAAUACACAAUGAAAACCAAGCCCUCAGAACCAUUCCUUGGAACCACUGUACUAACCUACUAACACCACUAUUUAUGGCCAGAUAGAUGCUUAUUAAUAGUUUUGUUGCUAAGGAACCACAAUGUUUGGUAUUCCGUGGUAUAAUACUGAUGAUGCAUAUAUGGUCGUGAAUAUCUACUCUGCACAUGAUCACUGAUCUACACAACCAAAAAUCCACGUAUAUGAUUAGCAUCUGUGAGAGGUGCACUUAUUAUACUGAUGUGUGCACAGAACCGUAUGAAAUCUGUUUUGUAAUACAAGUGGAUCAGAUGUGUGUUAAAGAUGUGUGUGCAAUAUGUACUUCACUCGUGAUUACCAAUGUGAUGUUCUGCUAUGUAUCACAAGUGGAAAGGGUAGAACAACUGGCCAGACAGCUAGAUGCCAGACAGCUAGACCUCAGUCAUCUAUAGAGUGGAAACGCGUGAGUCUAUAACUAUGUAUGCACUGAUGACCAAAAUUAUAUUAUAUAUUUCUAGGCUUGAAAGUCAUCAUUAUUUUGACAACAUUCAGACGAGGGGUUAAUUGAUGAUCCACUACUUCCCUGUUACUUUGUGAUUAUACAUUUAUUUCAAUUAUUAGAUGGCUGCUUUUAUUGUGACCCACUAACUAUGAAUGGCUCGCACUUUCAAAAGUGUUCAGAGUUGCAUAUAGUGUGUUUCAUUUUGGAAAGCAGACAAGUAUGUAAGGGGUUCUUAGACCUGGUAAGGAAUGCAACCCACACAUUAAAAAAAAAAUGGAAGUGCACCCACUGCUCAACCUUGUGGAAGACCUUGCUGUCUCUUCGGUCCCACUGCUACUUUUAAUUAACACUGAAAGGUGUGAAGCCUUUAAGUUAUAUUGAGGGAGAAGAAAGUUUUUCAAAUAGACGAGCCCUAAGUGGUGAUAUUACUGCUUCGUUUUCAUUAGAAGCAUUGAGAUUUGUCUAUUCAAGUGGCUAUUACCAGAGUGAGAUUUUCAACAGUGAGUAUUAUAAUUUAUGCUGUUGGU
Long non-coding RNA from Halichondria panicea, 1245 nucleotides. RefSeq lists it as uncharacterized. NCBI's taxonomy places the organism in Eukaryota, Metazoa, Porifera, Demospongiae, Suberitida, Halichondriidae. The record is from RefSeq and is a predicted model, not a curated record. The transcript is spliced from 4 exons.